GCCCGUGUAGCUCAGCGGUAGAGCAUUGUACUUAUGAGGUUAACUGACCACUUUGUGGUAUGCAAGGGUCUCGAGUUCGAAUCUCGGCAUGGGCA
Molecule: non-coding RNA, 95 nt
Organism: Asterophora parasitica
Lineage: Eukaryota; Fungi; Basidiomycota; Agaricomycetes; Agaricales; Lyophyllaceae
Source: the annotation of a GenBank genome assembly